GAGCAAACAUCAAUUGUUGGCUGGCCCUCGCUUCAUACUCGUCGCCAAACCCACUGGCUCCAUGUCAUCUACAAGACCCUGCUAGCACCAUGAGCUGUCCAUUUCCGAUUGAUUGUGCCGUGGCUGCUGCUUCAAGUUUCAGCACCACAAUGUAGAUGAACCUCCUUCUUAUUAGCUCUUCCACUCCCAAAGACCCAGCUGAGCCAGCCUCCACUGUUAUUGUGAACAGCAGGGGUCUCGGGCUCAGCCACCGGCCGGGUGCCAGUCUGGAACUGAGGGACACUGGCUGUGAGGAGAAUCUCCUCCCUCUCUGCAGGGACACCAGCCUUUGGGACGAUCCACUCCCUGUGCGCAGGGACGCUGGCCUUUGGGAAGAUUCCCUUUCUCUGCGCAGUGACACUGGUCAUCAGGAGGAUCAACUUCCUUUGUGCAGGGGGAUGAGGCCUGAUGCUCUGAGGAUCUCCUCCCUCUGCGCAGUGAUGCUAGCUGCUCGGAGAAUUCCCUCCCUCGGUGCAGGGACACUGGCUGUUUGGAGGAUCCCCUUCCUCUGUGCAGGGAUGAGGCCUGAUGCUCGGAGGAUCUCCUCCCUCUCAGCAGGGACACUAGCCCUUGGGACAAUCCCCUCCCUGUGCACAGGGACGCUGGCCAUUGGGACGAUUUCCUCCCUCUGCGCAGUGACACUGGCUGUUUGGAGGAUCCCCUCCCUCCGUGCAGGGAUGAGGCCUGAUGAUCGUAGGAUCUCCUCCCUCUGUGCAUUGAUGCUGGCGGCUGAGAGAAUCCCCUCCCUCUGUGAAGGGACACUGGCUGUUUGUAGGAUACCCUUCCUCUGUGACGGGAUGAGGCCUGAUGCUCGGACGAUCUCCUCCCUCUGCACAGCAACUUCGGCUGGUGUGAUGAUCUGAAGCACCAUGAGCUGUCCAUUUCCGAUUGAUUGUGCCGUGGCUGCUGCUUCAAGUUUCAGCACCACAAUGUAGAUGAACCUCCUUCUUAUUAGCUCUUCCACUCCCAAAGACCCAGCUGAGCCAGCCUCCACUGUUAUUGUGAACAGCAGGGGUCUCGGGCUCAGCCACCGGCCGGGUGCCAGUCUGGAACUGAGGUUUGGCAUCGGAAUGUUCCGGCUUGGUGAUGGACAUCAUAGCAGGAUGCUCAACAUAUCUAAGUCGGACAUCUGUAAUAAGUGGGAGAAGUCAGGCCACUCUGCUCAUGUCACCAUACAGAACAAUUACUAGCUGACAGAUAGGAACGUCUCGCUCUGAUACUCUGUUACAACCCAAUCUUAACCUACACGCAGUCACAGGGAUUACUGGGAGGUUACUCAAGGACUCUGCGAUCGCAUUGUUUUGGUUGCAAAAUCAACAAUUCCCUGCAUAUUAUGUGAGGGCUUACAAAUUUGACCAAUCACCGCACAUUUACUGCAUAAUGGUUUAAUCAAGCCACACCUCAACACAGUUUUUUCCUUUGUCAGUGCAUUUUUGCAACAAAUGGACAAAACAAUUGCAUAUUGCUAUGCAAAAUGUCAUAA
Oncorhynchus nerka (sockeye salmon) is the source of this 1522-nucleotide RNA transcript. RefSeq lists it as uncharacterized. The transcript has 7 exons. The record is from RefSeq and is a predicted model, not a curated record. NCBI's taxonomy places the organism in Eukaryota, Metazoa, Chordata, Actinopteri, Salmoniformes, Salmonidae.